RNAcentral lists this long non-coding RNA (205 nucleotides) under Homo sapiens (human). Its description in RNAcentral is "LNC_000925". The record is from RNAcentral. Lineage: Eukaryota; Metazoa; Chordata; Mammalia; Primates; Hominidae.
GCCCCACUGUCCAGGGGCAAAGUGCCCACACUCAGAGCUACACCUGGGCCUCCCUUCUUAUUCUGGUGGGUCUUGAUAUGUUUUGACAGGUGGUCACUCCUCAUGAAGCGCUUAGGACACUCAGGGCAGGCAAAUUUCUUCUCACCUGUGUGUGUACGUUUGUGCCUCUGUAGCUCAUCCGAACGUGUGAAGCGUUUCCCACAGU